This 455-nucleotide ribosomal RNA is filed under the name Streptococcus mitis. RNAcentral describes it as "bacterial SSU rRNA". It matches the Rfam family "Bacterial small subunit ribosomal RNA", at positions 28 to 469 of the family's 1533-position model. Lineage: Bacteria; Bacillati; Bacillota; Bacilli; Lactobacillales; Streptococcaceae. The record is from RNAcentral.
GACGAACGCUGGCGGCGUGCCUAAUACAUGCAAGUAGAACGCUGAAGGAGGAGCUUGCUCUUCUGGAUGAGUUGCGAACGGGUGAGUAACGCGUAGGUAACCUGCCUGGUAGCGGGGGAUAACUAUUGGAAACGAUAGCUAAUACCGCAUAAGAGUAGAUGUUGCAUGACAUUUACUUAAAAGGUGCAAUUGCAUCACUACCAGAUGGACCUGCGUUGUAUUAGCUAGUUGGUGGGGUAACGGCUCACCAAGGCGACGAUACAUAGCCGACCUGAGAGGGUGAUCGGCCACACUGGGACUGAGACACGGCCCAGACUCCUACGGGAGGCAGCAGUAGGGAAUCUUCGGCAAUGGACGGAAGUCUGACCGAGCAACGCCGCGUGAGUGAAGAAGGUUUUCGGAUCGUAAAGCUCUGUUGUAAGAGAAGAACGAGUGUGAGAGUGGAAAGUUCACAC